UGGGGAAUUUUGCGCAAUGGGCGAAAGCCUGACGCAGUAACGCCGCGUGGAGGAUGAAGGCCUUCGGGUUGUAAACUCCUGUCAGGAGGAACGACGGGGAGAGGGUGAUAAGUCCUUUCCUCCAGACGGUACCUCCAAAGGAAGCCCCGGCUAAUUCCGUGCCAGCAGCCGCGGUAAUACGGAAGGGGCAAGCGUUGUUCGGAAUCAUUGGGCGUAAAGGGCGCGUAGGUGGUUUUGUGUGUCUACCGUGAAAGCAUACAGCUCAACUGUAUUUUGUCGGUAGAAACUGCAGGACUUGAGGCUGGGAGGGGCUGGUGGAAUUCCCUGUGUAGCGGUGAAAUGCGUAGAGAUGGGGGAGAACACUCGUGGCGAAGGCGGCCAGCUAGACCAGUUCUGACACUGAGGCGCGAUAGCGUGGGGAGCAAACA
This 428-nucleotide ribosomal RNA is filed under the name uncultured bacterium. RNAcentral describes it as "bacterial SSU rRNA". It matches the Rfam family "Bacterial small subunit ribosomal RNA", at positions 355 to 774 of the family's 1533-position model. The record is from RNAcentral.